Paramuricea clavata is the source of this 81-nucleotide non-coding RNA. NCBI's taxonomy places the organism in Eukaryota, Metazoa, Cnidaria, Anthozoa, Malacalcyonacea, Plexauridae. The record is from the annotation of a GenBank genome assembly.
GACUGCGUAGCUCAGUUGGCAGAGCAUUGGGCUAGUAUUCCAAAGGUCGUAGGUAAGUAGGUUCGAUUCCCACCGUGGCCA